AGCGUAGGCUGCGCGGUAAGUCAGAUGUGAAAUCCCGGGGCUCAACCCCGGAACUGCAUCCGAUACUGCCGUGCUAGAGGAUUGGAGAGGUAGCUGGAAUUCACGGUGUAGCAGUGAAAUGCGUAGAUAUCGUGAGGAACACCUAUGGCGAAAGCAAGCUACUGGACAACUCCUGACGCUGAGGCUCGAAGGCCAGGGUAGCGAAAG
RNAcentral lists this ribosomal RNA (207 nucleotides) under uncultured bacterium. RNAcentral describes it as "partial 16S ribosomal RNA". It matches the Rfam family "Bacterial small subunit ribosomal RNA", at positions 568 to 774 of the family's 1533-position model. The record is from RNAcentral.